Molecule: ribosomal RNA, 483 nt
Filed under: uncultured bacterium
Lineage: Bacteria
Description: partial 16S ribosomal RNA
Rfam family: Bacterial small subunit ribosomal RNA
Source: RNAcentral
AUUGAACGCUGGCGGCAUGCUUUACACAUGCAAGUCGAACGGCAGCGCGGGCUUCGGCCUGGCGGCGAGUGGCGAACGGGUGAGUAAUACAUCGGAACGUGCCCAGUAGUGGGGGAUAGCUCGGCGAAAGCCGGAUUAAUACCGCAUACGACCUGAGGGUGAAAGCGGGGGAUCUUCGGACCUCGCGCUAUUGGAGCGGCCGAUGGCAGAUUAGCUAGUUGGUGGGGUAAAGGCCUACCAAGGCGACGAUCUGUAGCUGGUCUGAGAGGACGACCAGCCACACUGGGAGUGAGACACGGCCCAGACUCCGACGGGAGGCAGCAGUGGGGAAUUUUGGACAAUGGGCGAAAGCCUGAUCCAGCAAUGCCGCGUGUGUGAUGAAGGCCUUCGGGUUGUAAAGCACUUUUGGCGGGAACGAAAAGGACUGUGCCAAUACCACGGUUCGAGGACGGUACCCGCAGAAUAAGCACCGGCUAACUACGU